Aegilops tauschii subsp. strangulata is the source of this 1490-nucleotide long non-coding RNA. RefSeq lists it as uncharacterized. The record is from RefSeq and is a predicted model, not a curated record. NCBI's taxonomy places the organism in Eukaryota, Viridiplantae, Streptophyta, Magnoliopsida, Poales, Poaceae.
CCUCCCUUCCUCACCCGCGCAAACCCUAGCUCCUCUCGAUCCCGUCCCCUUCCUCCCCGCCAGCUCCACCGAUCCUCCCUCGCCGCCGAUGGCUCCCGACCCAAACUCAGAUCCCAUCGACUACCAUGACUCGUCGUCGCCAUCGCACCUUCCACCACCGACGUCCCCGUCUCGCAUAGUCCCCGUCAACUCGCAGACGCCCCACAUCGAGCCCAACAAAACCUCGCGCGCCCGCACACCUUCUUCGCCGACGCGGCCAUGGCGGCGGUGGCGACCGUGAGCUAGGCCGGCAUGGUGACCCCGCGCCGCGCCGCCGCUGCCGCCCGAUCCGCGACAGCCAGCUCCUCCGCAAGGAGCCUGGAGGACCAUCCUUCCAGAGAGGCAAGCGUUCACUAAAGGCAUGGCGCAUGAUGAAGCUGUGGCUGCCCAGAAGACUGGGAAAUCAGGUUCACCCCCUAAGGGCGAGGCCGGUGAUGUCCGUGCGGUGAUGUCCCUGGGGUGGCGCCACUGUGCCCGGCGCUUGCCCUGGUCGCCGGGGUGGUGCUUCGGCGGCUUCCAGACCCUCUCCCGGAUGUGGUGAUGGUCACACCACAACCGUGGUGUAGCUGAGCCUCUGCUACGGCUACAACCUCCCUCUGGUGAGCUCCUCCUCGUUCCUUCUUCUCUGAUGUAGCUCCUGCAUGGCCUUGGACAUGAUUUGGGUUGGAUGUGGGGCUCUACUAGUUGCUGCUAGAUGCUGUAACCAAGCAUCAACUCCUACUGGAGCUCUCUGGUGAUAAAUUCAUGCCGUUCUAUGGUCUGUCAGUAGCUGCCCACGUGUACUUGCUUUAUAUAUGUGCUCCUAUGAUGCUCUGGUGAUAUGGGGUGGCUAAUAUCAAGAUCAUGGUGGUGUUGAUGCUUAUCUUGCGUGUCUCUGGUGGUGGUGGUGUUGACAGCAGUUACACACCUAGCUUGUAACUAAUAUCCUUACUGCUAAUUUACCUCAAGUUUAUCUGAACAUGGUUGAAAUGAGCGCUGCAAAUUUUGAUGUCUAAAAUCAAUUUUUACCCCAAGCCCUUAAGUAAUUAUUUUCAUUACAUCACAGUUAGCUGAGAAUAUUGACUUGAAUAUUUUAUGUAUGCCUUGAUGCAUGUACACAUACGGUUGAGCAAAUACCGAGCUGCAGUGGAACAACCUGGAGUUAGAGAACUUCAAGGACAAGAUCAACGAGGUGACCGGCGUUAUGGCGACUGUGUACGGCGGCGACCACAAGUUCUUCGAUGUUGGGCUUUCAUGUUUUUUCGUGAUCAUCAGGGCAAAGAAGUUGGAGGAAGAAUAGUUCUAGCUCAUUGGAGGUAGUUUUGAGAGUAAUGAAGCCCUUUAUGCUGCUCCUAUUUGUAUGUGUUGUAUGAUGUAGCAGAAUCUGGCUCAUGUGAUUGUACACUUGUGGAGCUUGUUAUCUGAUUGUAAACUUGAUGCUGAUCACAUUUGUAUGUGUGUUAUAUGAUGUA